UGUUCAAAUGAGAACCAGGCUCCUCUCCCAAGCCUCACAAGGUCGCAAAGCCUGCAACGUCAGACGCUCUGCUGAAUCCUUUAUUAUCUAUCUUUCCAGCCAGCAGCUGAUGAGAGAUUGCGUGUGUGCUGACUCGCAGCUCUUUCAAAUCAUGUUGAUUCGCAACUCAGCUGAUCCGGAAGGGGCCGGUCCUCCAUGUUGGCCAUUUCAGGUCAGCUCCAUAAAGGAUGCAGAGGGUGGAUUUUCAUGGUGGAAACACACAGCUGAUAUUCACAAAGCUAGUUCAUCCAGGCACACGAGAACAGUGAAAUAUGGACGUGGCCUCUUUGCCUCUCCUGCACGCCCAGUGCUUUGAAGAGUGCCUGGCACAGGCAUCCAGGGAUGCUGUUCCCGGGCGGGCCGCGAACCCUGUGCUGUGACCCUGGCUCGGGCCUGUGUGCUCUGAUCCCUUUGCAAGAGACAAGAUCAGUUAUGUGAUGCCAAAUGCUGGUGAUCCUUCAGGAAUUUAAGGAAAUAAUGAUGGAUUUAACUACGAAAUUGUUCUUGACAUCAUUGUUUCCAAUCCCCGAGAAGCAGAUGCGAUCUAAAUAGCAAAUGCAAGAGUAAAUAAAAUAGAAAACGUCGCUAUCAUAAAACACUGCCAAUAUCAAUUUUGGUCAAUCUGUGAGGUUAAAAAAUGACAAUCCAAUAAUCUUUUUAUUGGCUCUCUUUCUUUCAGUGUACGCUGCUUACCCUCAUUGCGGGUACAUCUUUAUAUUUGGUUAUUUUAAUUUUUUCUUACGGGUUAUCUGAAUGCUUCGUGAGUUAAUGAAUUGGCUUCUUGUCUGUGACUGGUGCUGUGCAUAUGACUUCCCAUUUGCCCCUUGUCUUUUGACCUCCAUAGUCUUUCGUCUUUAUUUCACCCACACGGAUGCUUUCCUUUUUCUGAACUAGAUUGAUCGAUCCUUUCCUGUGUGGCUUCUGGGUUUAGUUUCUCACUUUGGAAACUGGUUUCCAACUGCAGCAUUGUAAAUAUAUUUACCCAAAUGUCUUCAAACACUUUCAUUGCUUCAUUUUUUUCCUUUAACAUUUUAAUCCUUGACCCAUCGGGGAUAUAUUUGGGUGUAAGAAGUUAGGUGAGGAUCCCGCUUUAUUACAGUUUUUCAAAGGGUUGGCCAGUGAUUCUGACAGUAUUUACUGAAUAAUCCCCCUUUCAGACAAACCAUUUCAAUAAUUCCUUUUGUGAGGGGGUCACAGAACCCUUUGAGAAUCUGAUGAAAGCUACAGAUCUUCUCCCCAGGAAAAAAAUGUGUGCCUGUAACACACACUAAAUUUCACAAACAAUUCCAGCAGGACACACAGACCUUCAAGAGCACAUCCGUUGACUCCCAAGAGAGAGCUCAGAGAAACCUCAUCUUCCUGUGGGAAGAGAAGGGCGACGGCUCCUGAGCGCCUUUGAGGACGAGCACAGCCAUGCUGCUACACACAUACAGAUGACUCAUAAAGACGUAUUUUCACCCCCUUCAAAUGGUGAUGUUCCUGUAAUAAAGAAUUUAAUAACCUGC
Sapajus apella (tufted capuchin) is the source of this 1544-nucleotide long non-coding RNA. RefSeq lists it as uncharacterized. Lineage: Eukaryota; Metazoa; Chordata; Mammalia; Primates; Cebidae. The transcript is spliced from 4 exons. The record is from RefSeq and is a predicted model, not a curated record.